UAUGGCACGUACACCAUCUUC
Molecule: microRNA, 21 nt
Filed under: Strongyloides ratti
Lineage: Eukaryota; Metazoa; Nematoda; Chromadorea; Rhabditida; Strongyloididae
Description: str-miR-8394-3p
Source: miRBase by way of RNAcentral